Molecule: ribosomal RNA, 96 nt
Filed under: Ligilactobacillus salivarius
Lineage: Bacteria; Bacillati; Bacillota; Bacilli; Lactobacillales; Lactobacillaceae
Description: partial 23S ribosomal RNA
Rfam family: Bacterial large subunit ribosomal RNA
Source: RNAcentral
AAGAUCCCUGAAAGAUGAUCAGGUAGAUAGGAUGGAAGUGGAAGUGCUGCGAGGCAUGGAGCGGACCAUUACUAAUCGAUCGAGGACUUAACCAAG